UACGUAGGGUCCGAGCGUUGUCCGGAAUUACUGGGCGUAAAGGGCUCGUAGGCGGCCAACUAAGUCAGACGUGAAAUCCCUCGGCUUAACCGGGGAACUGCAUCUGAUACUGGAUGGCUUGAGUUCGGGAGAGGGAUGCGGAAUUCCAGGUGUAGCGGUGAAAUGCGUAGAUAUCUGGAGGAACACCGGUGGCGAAGGCGGCAUCCUGGACCGACACUGACGCUGAGGAGCGAAAGCCAGGGGAGCAAACGGG
RNAcentral lists this ribosomal RNA (253 nucleotides) under uncultured bacterium. RNAcentral describes it as "partial 16S ribosomal RNA". It matches the Rfam family "Bacterial small subunit ribosomal RNA", at positions 524 to 776 of the family's 1533-position model. The record is from RNAcentral.